RNAcentral lists this ribosomal RNA (253 nucleotides) under uncultured bacterium. RNAcentral's name for it is "partial 16S ribosomal RNA". It matches the Rfam family "Bacterial small subunit ribosomal RNA", at positions 524 to 776 of the family's 1533-position model. The record is from RNAcentral.
UACGGAGGGGGUUAGCGUUGUUCGGAAUUACUGGGCGUAAAGCGCGCGUAGGCGGACCAGAAAGUUGGGGGUGAAAUCCCGGGGCUCAACUCCGGAACGGCCUCCAAAACUCCUGGUCUUGAGUUCGAGAGAGGUGAGUGGAAUUCCGAGUGUAGAGGUGAAAUUCGUAGAUAUUCGGAGGAACACCAGUGGCGAAGGCGGCUCACUGGCUCGAUACUGACGCUGAGGUGCGAAAGUGUGGGGAGCAAACAGG